Molecule: transfer-messenger RNA, 378 nt
Filed under: Actinomycetota bacterium
Lineage: Bacteria; Bacillati; Actinomycetota
Rfam family: transfer-messenger RNA
About the family: Bacterial tmRNA, also known as 10Sa RNA or SsrA, is named for its dual tRNA and mRNA-like properties. Its role is to liberate the mRNA from a stalled ribosome.
Source: RNAcentral
GGGGCUGACUGGUUUCGACGUUGAGACCGUUGGCUUGUCGUGCGGCCCGAGUUGCUCAGACUCGCUAAACGGGGCACAAACACAGGUGCCAAUACUGACACCAGCUUUGCCCUGGCAGCCUAGAAACUGCUGAGGUAAUGCACACAGCGACCCGCGAGGGCACGCCGAGGACGACCCUUUGCCUUGGGAACAGAAUGAGGGUUGACAGCCGGGAAAGACCGCUGACACGUAGGGAAAGACCGACUGACCUCACGGAAAGACGUGACGAGUAUUCGGGACCCGGCUCGAAGGUAGCGUCAAGCCUGUAACACGGGAAUGGUCGUAGCACGGGAAGUCUGCACUUGACGGACGAGGGUUCGAUUCCCUCCAGCUCCACCA